Molecule: non-coding RNA, 21 nt
Organism: Caenorhabditis elegans
Lineage: Eukaryota; Metazoa; Nematoda; Chromadorea; Rhabditida; Rhabditidae
Source: Ensembl
UCCUUUCAUUUUUCCAGCUAU